This 492-nucleotide ribosomal RNA is filed under the name uncultured bacterium. RNAcentral describes it as "partial 16S ribosomal RNA". It matches the Rfam family "Bacterial small subunit ribosomal RNA", at positions 29 to 507 of the family's 1533-position model. The record is from RNAcentral.
AGUGAACGCUGGCGGUAGGCCUAACACAUGCAAGUCGAACGGCAGCACAGUAAGAGCUUGCUCUUACGGGUGGCGAGUGGCGGACGGGUGAGGAAUACAUCGGAAUCUACUUUUUCGUGGGGGAUAACGUAGGGAAACUUACGCUAAUACCGCAUACAACCUACGGGUGAAAGCAGGGGAUCUUCGGACCUUGCGCGAUUGAAUGAGCCGAUGUCGGAUUAGCUAGUUGGCGGGGUAAAGGCCCACCAAGGCGACGAUCCGUAGCUGGUCUGAGAGGAUGAUCAGCCACACUGGAACUGAGACACGGUCCAGACUCCUACGGGAGGCAGCAGUGGGGAAUAUUGGACAAUGGGCGCAAGCCUGAUCCAGCCAUACCGCGUGGGUGAAGAAGGCCUUCGGGUUGUAAAGCCCUUUUGUUGGGAAAGAAAAGCAGCAGGUUAAUCCCCCGCUGUUCUGACGGUACCCAAAGAAUAAGCAACGGCUAACUUCGUG